CCCUUCUUCAUUUUCUCUUCCUCUCUUCCUCAUUUCUCAUUCUUCCUCUCUUCUCUCAUAGUGUAUUUCUCUCUUCCUCUUCUCAUUCUCUUACUCUUCUCAUUCCAUUCUCACACCAUUUUUGAAGAUUUUGAAGAUUGGAGGAGAUAUUAUAAGAAUUGUACUUGAAGAUUGGAGGAGAUUAGAAGAUUGAGAUGGAGUUUUGUUGCUGAAGCGCUCAGGGCAUGCACACACUUGAAGAAGCUUGGUAGAAGAAACUAUAUGAAAAGGAUGCUAAGAUUAGAUAACAGGAAAUAAUUAUUUUGGCUUAUUAGAUAAAGAAGAAUAAGAGAAAAUGGUAUGUGCAAGUGCUAUUGUGGCUCUGUUGCUUUGUACUGAAUACAAGUGCCGCGGAGAUAUAUUGUUUCCACCAGUGAGCACCAUGAGCUUAAUUAAAAUAGGCACAUAUGACCCAUCUUGUUAUAAACAUUUAUACUAGUGGAUGUCCAUCCCUCUUCUUAUUCUUCAUCUUCCUAUUCCACUUUAAUGUACUUAAUUUUCUACCUUCCUUGGGUCCUAUAAAUAAGACUCAUGUUACAAUGUAAAGUUCACCUUUGAGAAGAAUAUAA
Vicia villosa (hairy vetch) is the source of this 608-nucleotide long non-coding RNA. RefSeq lists it as uncharacterized. The record is from RefSeq and is a predicted model, not a curated record. The transcript has 3 exons. Lineage: Eukaryota; Viridiplantae; Streptophyta; Magnoliopsida; Fabales; Fabaceae.